RNAcentral lists this ribosomal RNA (460 nucleotides) under uncultured bacterium. Its description in RNAcentral is "partial 16S ribosomal RNA". It matches the Rfam family "Bacterial small subunit ribosomal RNA", at positions 338 to 795 of the family's 1533-position model. The record is from RNAcentral.
CCUACGGGUGGCAGCAGUGAGGAAUAUUGGUCAAUGGACGAGAGUCUGAACCAGCCAAGUAGCGUGAAGGAUGACUGCCCUAUGGGUUGUAAACUUCUUUUAUAAAGGAAUAAAAUGAGCCACGUGUGCCUUUUUGUAUGUACUUUAUGAAUAAGGAUCGGCUAACUCCGUGCCAGCAGCCGCGGUAAUACGGAGGAUCCGAGCGUUAUCCGGAUUUAUUGGGUUUAAAGGGAGCGUAGAUGGGUUGUUAAGUCAGUUGUGAAAGUUUGCGGCUCAACCGUAAAAUUGCAAUUGAUACUGGCAGUCUUGAGUACAGUUGAGGUAGGCGGAAUUCGUGGUGUAGCGGUGAAAUGCUUAGAUAUCACGAAGAACCCCGAUUGCGAAGGCAGCUUACUAAACUGUGACUGACAUUGAUGCUCGAAAGUGUGGGUAUCAAACAGGAUUAGAUACCCCAGUAGUC